GGCGGGUGCUAACGUCCGUCGUGAAGAGGGAAACAACCCAGACCGCCAGCUAAGGUCCCAAAGUCAUGGUUAAGUGGGAAACGAUGUGGGAAGGCCCAGACAGCCAGGAUGUUGGCUUAGAAGCAGCCAUCAUUUAAAGAAAGCGUAAUAGCUCACUGGUCGAGUCGGCCUGCGCGGAAGAUGUAACGGGGCUAAACCAUGCACCGAAGCUGCGGCAGCGACACUAUGUGUUGUUGGGUAGGGGAGCGUUCUGUAAGCCUGCGAAGGUGUGCUGUGAGGCAUGCUGGAGGUAUCAGAAGUGCGAAUGCUGACAUAAGUAACGAUAAAGCGGGUGAAAAGCCCGCUCGCCGGAAGACCAAGGGUUCCUGUCCAACGUUAAUCGGGGCAGGGUGAGUCGACCCCUAAGGCGAGGCCGAAAGGCGUAGUCGAUGGGAAACAGGUUAAUAUUCCUGUACUUGGUGUUACUGCGAAGGGGGGACGGAGAAGGCUAUGUUGGCCGGGCGACGGUUGUCCCGGUUUAAGCGUGUAGGCUGGUUUUCCAGGCAAAUCCGGAAAACCAAGGCUGAGGCGUGAUGACGAGGCACUACGGUGCUGAAGCGACAAAUGCCCUGCUUCCAGGAAAAGCCUCUAAGCAUCAGGUAACAUCAAAUCGUACCCCAAACCGACACAGGUGGUCAGGUAGAGAAUACCAAGGCGCUUGAGAGAACUCGGGUGAAGGAACUAGGCAAAAUGGUGCCGUAACUUCGGGAGAAGGCACGCUGAUAUGUAGGUGAAGCGACUUGCUCGUGGAGCUGAAAUCAGUCGAAGAUACCAGCUGGCUGCAACUGUUUAUUAAAAACACAGCACUGUGCAAACACGAAAGUGGACGUAUACGGUGUGACGCCUGCCCGGUGCCGGA
RNAcentral lists this ribosomal RNA (898 nucleotides) under Escherichia coli. Its description in RNAcentral is "partial 23S ribosomal RNA". It matches the Rfam family "Bacterial large subunit ribosomal RNA", at positions 990 to 1873 of the family's 2925-position model. Lineage: Bacteria; Pseudomonadati; Pseudomonadota; Gammaproteobacteria; Enterobacterales; Enterobacteriaceae. The record is from RNAcentral.